UCGAAAUCAUCACACGGAGUUGGAUGUUCGUUGUGGAGACUUCUGUUGUUGUUGCUGGCCUUUCACGAGGCAUGUGCACACACAGGAGGGUCGUCAUCAGCGAGCCUCUCCAACUUCUGAUUUCUCCACACACACACACACACCUUGUGAACACAUGUGGAAUGAAGGGGGGGAGGCUGGAUAACGGCCUUCUUUUCUGACCUCCAUCUUUUUAAUUCACACACGCUUGUAAAACCCGAGAUGUACUAUUUGUAAAUGAAAUAAA
RNAcentral lists this unclassified non-coding RNA (265 nucleotides) under soil metagenome. RNAcentral describes it as "partial internal transcribed spacer 1". The record is from RNAcentral.